This 23-nucleotide non-coding RNA is filed under the name Arabidopsis thaliana (thale cress). The record is from RNAcentral. Lineage: Eukaryota; Viridiplantae; Streptophyta; Magnoliopsida; Brassicales; Brassicaceae.
UAUGCAUGUGAUGUGGGAGAGGU